UAGACUGAGGUUUCACCUACUGGGCACC
Molecule: non-coding RNA, 28 nt
Filed under: Mus musculus (house mouse)
Lineage: Eukaryota; Metazoa; Chordata; Mammalia; Rodentia; Muridae
Source: RNAcentral